GACGAACGCUGGCGGCGUGCCUAAUACAUGCAAGUCGAACGCUUCUUUCCUCCCGAGUGCUUGCACUCAAUUGGAAAGAGGAGUGGCGGACGGGUGAGUAACACGUGGGUAACCUACCCAUCAGAGGGGGAUAACACUUGGAAACAGGUGCUAAUACCGCAUAACAGUUUAUGCCGCAUGGCAUAAGAGUGAAAGGCGCUUUCGGGUGUCGCUGAUGGAUGGACCCGCGGUGCAUUAGCUAGUUGGUGAGGUAACGGCUCACCAAGGCCACGAUGCAUAGCCGACCGGAGAGGGUGAUCGGCCACACUGGGACUGAGACACGGCCCAGACUCCUACGGGAGGCAGCAGUAGGGAAUCUUCGGCAAUGGACGAAAGUCUGACCGAGCAACGCCGCGUGAGUGAAGAAGGUUUUCGGAUCGUAAAACGCUGUUGUUAGAGAAGAACAAGGACGUUAGUAACUGAACGUCCCCUGACGGUAUCUAACCAGAAAGCCACGGCUAACUACGU
RNAcentral lists this ribosomal RNA (507 nucleotides) under uncultured bacterium. Its description in RNAcentral is "partial 16S ribosomal RNA". It matches the Rfam family "Bacterial small subunit ribosomal RNA", at positions 28 to 506 of the family's 1533-position model. The record is from RNAcentral.